RNAcentral lists this non-coding RNA (30 nucleotides) under Rattus norvegicus (Norway rat). The record is from RNAcentral. Lineage: Eukaryota; Metazoa; Chordata; Mammalia; Rodentia; Muridae.
UAUGCAAGCAAGUGAAGACUGUUCUAUUCC